Molecule: ribosomal RNA, 497 nt
Filed under: uncultured bacterium
Lineage: Bacteria
Description: partial 16S ribosomal RNA
Rfam family: Bacterial small subunit ribosomal RNA
Source: RNAcentral
GAUGAACGCUGGCGGCGUGCCUAAUACAUGCAAGUCGAGCGAACAGAUGAGGCGUUUGCUCCUCUGACGUUUGCCGCGGACGGGUGAGUCACACGUGGAUCACCUACCUAUAUGACUGGUAUAAUUUGGGGAAUCCGGCGCUAAUCCCGGAUAAUCUAUUGAACCGUAUUGUUCAUUAGUGAAAGACGGUUUUUCUGUCACUUCUAGCUGGAUACGCGCCGCAUUAGGUAGUUGUUAAGGUAACGGAUUACCACGGCGACGCUGCGUAGCCGACCUGAGCGGGUGGUCAGCCGCACUGGAACUGAGACACGGUACAGACUCAUACGGGAGGCAGCAGUAGGGAAUCGGCCGCAAGGGGCGAAGACCAUACGGAGCAACGCCGCGUGAGUGAUGAGCAUCUUCGGAUCGGAGAUCACGGUUAUUGGGGUAGAACAAAUUUUUACGUAACUAGGCGCGUCUGUAAGGGAAAUGAGCAGAGAGACACGGCUAACUACGGU